UGCAAGUCGAGCGAGAUCUUCGGAUCUAGCGGCGGACGGGUUAGUAACGCGUGGGAAUGUACCCUUCACUACGGAAUAGUCCCGGGAAACUGGGUUUAAUACCGUAUACGCCCUUCGGGGGAAAGAAUUUCGGUGAAGGAUCAGCCCGCGUUAGAUUAGAUAGUUGGUGGGGUAAUGGCCUACCAAGUCUACGAUCUAUAGCUGGUUUGAGAGGAUGAUCAGCAACACUGGGACUGAGACACGGCCCAGACUCCUACGGGAGGCAGCAGUGGGGAAUCUUAGACAAUGGGCGCAAGCCUGAUCUAGCCAUGCCGCGUGGAUGAUGAAGGCCUUAGGGUUGUAAAGUCCUUUCAGUCGUGAAGAUAAUGACGGUAGCGACAGAAGAAGCCCCGGCUAACUCCGUGCCAGCAGCCGCGGUAAUACGGAGGGGGCUAGCGUUGUUCGGAAUUACUGGGCGUAAAGCGCACGUAGGCGGACUAGUCAGUCAGAGGUGAAAUCCCAGGGCUCAACCCUGGAACUGCCUUUGAUACUGCUAGUCUUGAGGUCGAGAGAGGUGAGUGGAAUUCCGAGUGUAGAGGUGAAAUUCGUAGAUAUUCGGAGGAACACCAGUGGCGAAGGCGGCUCACUGGCUCGAUACUGACGCUGAGGUGCGAAAGUGUGGGGAGCAAACAGGAUUAGAUACCCUGGUAGUCCACACCGUAAACGAUGAAUGCCAGUCGUCGGGUAGCAUGCUAUUCGGUGACACACCUAACGGAUUAAGCAUUCCGCCUGGGGAGUACGGUCGCAAGAUUAAAACUCAAAGGAAUUGACGGGG
RNAcentral lists this ribosomal RNA (814 nucleotides) under Thioclava sp. CPA-118. RNAcentral's name for it is "bacterial SSU rRNA". It matches the Rfam family "Bacterial small subunit ribosomal RNA", at positions 56 to 918 of the family's 1533-position model. Lineage: Bacteria; Pseudomonadati; Pseudomonadota; Alphaproteobacteria; Rhodobacterales; Paracoccaceae. The record is from RNAcentral.